CCUGAGCUGAAGUUGGACACUUAGCCGACUGAGCCAUCCAGAUUGACUGUUUAUUGCCUUUCACAUUUGGAUCCAUAGUUUGGAAGUAAUCAUUCGUGGAAUAAGAAGGGUCAGAGCUUGAAUGUCAGCAGCACAAAAUG
Suricata suricatta (meerkat) is the source of this 140-nucleotide long non-coding RNA. RefSeq lists it as uncharacterized. The transcript is spliced from 3 exons. The record is from RefSeq and is a predicted model, not a curated record. Lineage: Eukaryota; Metazoa; Chordata; Mammalia; Carnivora; Herpestidae.